RNAcentral lists this long non-coding RNA (756 nucleotides) under Heterocephalus glaber (naked mole-rat). Its description in RNAcentral is "lncRNA (ENSHGLG00000036423.1)". Lineage: Eukaryota; Metazoa; Chordata; Mammalia; Rodentia; Bathyergidae. The record is from RNAcentral.
CCCCUGCCCACGCGGGGGACCCUGCAGGAAUGGGGAGGGAAUGUGCCUCCUGCGCCUGCACCAGGAACAGAGCCGAGCAACUCCCUGAGGUCAGUGACCAGGUGUGACACCUCUGUCCCCACCCAGCCCGCACCUGGCCGGAUGCUGCCAACACAAUGGAUGCUCCCUAAGCAUCUCUGGCUUUAAUGUUAUUGUUCCUGUGGCUUUUCUGUUAACUUGAGAGGAGAUCCUGGGAAGAAUGAGGGCUGGAAAUGCUGUGAGAAAUCAUGAGGCUGUGGCUGGAGAAGCCUGGGGAAGAAGUGAGCAGCUAACAGCUCCUAUUGACACUGAGCAGGUUGUUAGCUAUGUGGCCAGCGGGCACUGUCCAAGUGGCAAAUGGAGAGGUGGGACCGAAGAGGAGCAGAAGCUGAGAGGCAGAAAACAAUCAGCAGUUUAUCUGGGCUCACAUCCUUUCAAGAAGUGGGACAGGAGUCUGGACCCAGGUCUGUGCUGGAGACUUGAGAAAGACUUCAAGCAGAAGGGACUCUGAGCUGAAGACAAGAGGGAGGAAGAGAAACAGGCUCUGCAGAGCGAAUUUAGGCCAAGAAAAAGUAGGAAAGAAGGUGUCCUCUACAGCGUGAGGGGGAUUACUGUGAGAGGGACAGCACCAAAGAGCCCUCAAGGUCCACGGCCCUUUUCCAUCUGCCGCCUCAGCUGAGUCAGGUCCAGCUGCCCUAUGGAAAACCUGCUUGAGUUCUCGCGAGAAGUCCGCUCUCA